RNAcentral lists this ribosomal RNA (466 nucleotides) under uncultured bacterium. Its description in RNAcentral is "partial 16S ribosomal RNA". It matches the Rfam family "Bacterial small subunit ribosomal RNA", at positions 28 to 507 of the family's 1533-position model. The record is from RNAcentral.
GACGAACGCUGGCGGCGUGCUUAACACAUGCAAGUCGAACGGAAAGGCCCUGCUUUUGUGGGGUGCUCGAGUGGCGAACGGGUGAGUAACACGUGAGUAACCUGCCCUUGACUUUGGGAUAACUUCAGGAAACUGGGGCUAAUACCGGAUAGGAGCUCCUGCUGCAUGGUGGGGGUUGGAAAGUUUCGGCGGUUGGGGAUGGACUCGCGGCUUAUCAGCUUGUUGGUGGGGUAGUGGCUUACCAAGGCUUUGACGGGUAGCCGGCCUGAGAGGGUGACCGGCCACAUUGGGACUGAGAGACGGCACAGACUACUACGGGAGGAAGCAGGGGGGAAUAUUGCACAAUGGGCGGAAGACUGAUGCAGCAACGCCGCGCGGGAUGACGGCCUUCGGGUUGUAAACCGCUUUCGCCUGUGACGAAGCGUGAGUGACGGUAAUGGGUAAAGAAGCACCGGCUAACUACGUG